UACGUAGGUGGCGAGCGUUGUCCGGAUUUACUGGGCGUAAAGGGAGCGUAGGCGGACUUUUAAGUGAGAUGUGAAAUACCCGGGCUCAACUUGGGUGCUGCAUUUCAAACUGGAAGUCUAGAGUGCAGGAGAGGAGAAUGGAAUUCCUAGUGUAGCGGUGAAAUGCGUAGAUAUUAGGAGGAACACCAGUGGCGAAGGCGGCUUUCUAGACAGUAACUGACGCUGAGGCGCGAAAGCGUGGGGAGCAAACAGGAUUAGAUACCCUGGUA
RNAcentral lists this ribosomal RNA (269 nucleotides) under uncultured prokaryote. RNAcentral describes it as "partial 16S ribosomal RNA". It matches the Rfam family "Bacterial small subunit ribosomal RNA", at positions 524 to 792 of the family's 1533-position model. The record is from RNAcentral.